GAUGAACGCUGGCGGCGUGCCUAAUACAUGCAAGUCGAGCGAGCAGACGAGGAGCUUGCUCCUCUGACGUUAGCGGCGGACGGGUGAGUAACACGUGGAUAACCUACCUAUAAGACUGGGAUAACUUCGGGAAACCGGAGCUAAUAGCGGAAAAUAUAUUGAACCGCAUGGUUCAAUAGUGAAAGACGGUCUUGCUGUCACUUAAAGAUGGAUCCGGGCCGCAUUAGCUGGUUGGGUAGGUAAGGGUUUACCAAGGCAACGAUGCGUAGCCGACCUGAGAGAGUGAUAGUCGACGCUGGAAGUGGAACACGAGCCAGACUCGUACGGAGGGACGCAGUAGGGACCCUUCCGCAACAGGAGAAAGCUAUACGCAGCAACGCCGGGAAGGUUGUGAAGGCAUUGGGGUCGGGAAACUCUGGUAUUAGGGAAGAACAAAUUUUUAAGUAACUAAACACGUAUUGACGGUACCUAAUCAGAAAGCCACGGCUAACUACGUG
RNAcentral lists this ribosomal RNA (497 nucleotides) under uncultured bacterium. Its description in RNAcentral is "partial 16S ribosomal RNA". It matches the Rfam family "Bacterial small subunit ribosomal RNA", at positions 28 to 507 of the family's 1533-position model. The record is from RNAcentral.